GCCAGGGCUCGGAGGACAGUCCACGAUGGGCUCUGCCACCUCACCUGCGCCCACCUGCAAGUCCAAUAUAAGUAACACUGAUGGAAGGGUGGGCUUACACGUCUUCCAUUCUGUGUUUUGGCUGUUUUUGUUUGCUUUUUGUCUUUACAGUGCUGGGGAUGAACCCAGGACCUUGCACAUGCCAGGCAAGUGCUCACCACCCAGUCCAGCUGCCUUCCACUUCUCAGGACCAGUUUCUCUCUAGGGGACCUCUAGGAGAAGGGCAGAACUCAGACAGCCAGACACUGCGGUCCUGAGGUGGGACAAGAGGAAUAAAGAUACAACAAGCUUGGGCAACUCUCUUUCACCUGCAAAUUGGCUCUUUUCGCCUGUGAAUGGCACUUAUCCUCAAGGAAGCAGCACUGUAGUGGACAGUGGCUCUCAACUUCAAACCCAGGUAAAUGUUUCCCGAUACAGCCGCCCGACGGUGACCUGGCAGACAGGAGCGCGCAUCCCAGAUUGCCCAUCUGAGGACACCCAUGCCCACACGUGUGCCUAGUGCCGAUCCCAAGGCUCCUCUCUUUUUGAGGGCCCAUACUCUAUUUCUUUGAGUGAGUACUUUUAAUUUGUGCCUAUUAUAUCUCUGUGUGUCUUACUGACUGACGCAUCCUGAGAGUUCAGGAGUCCAGCUAACCUGGAACUUGGUUCUAUGAGCACAGGAGUCUAGGUGCAUCAUCUUGCAGGGGACCUUCUCAGACCCUGUCUGACCAGACCACAGGUUUCUGUGAGCUAGGGCCACUCCACACCCCCGUUCCCUGACGCCAGUCUGAGGAAGCAGGAGGAAAAUGUCCUAUGAGCUCACAGCACAGCCAACCCCGUGUCUCCCUGCUGGCAGACACCAGCCUGGCGUUCCCUCCCCAGUUCCAUUCUGACACUGCCUCCUGGGCCCAGUCUCUACCACUGCACCCCAGGAACCAGCCAAAGUCCCCCUUUGUCUUGCCUGUGCUUCUCACCCACCAAGUAUAAACCCCAUGCCCCUCAGGUUUGCUAACUGGCUGUAGCGGCUCACAGGAGUCAGGAAAACACCUGCAUUUACUGGUUUCUGACAAAGGAUGUAAAUGAAGGUGGCUAGGGUACCAUGUAGGGGAGAGGAGCCCUACCCUGGCUGGUGCCUCCUCCGGGACUCCGUAUGGUACCCUCCCCAGACACUCUGAGCCCUGUGACCCAGGCCCGACUGAACCAGGCCUGGUGCUGAGAGGGCAGAUCCCACAGCGGGCAGGAGCUGAUGCUGGUCGACUGCUGGAGACAGAGGAAGCCGAAUCCUCAGGUUCUGCUUGGCCUCUCUGAACAGUGUUCCCUCCCCAAGAACAGCCAGGACCCCUCCUGAAGUGGAGUCUUGUGACCUUCUCGAGGUAGGUAGAGAAUUGCGCAGGCCCAGUUCUUACCCAGAGGAGCGGGAACACGUGCGAAGCUGUUUCACUGUCUCCACGGUGUGGGGAUGUGUUGAGGAGCUCAGCUUUACCUCACUGCGCACUCUGGAUUUCACCUGGUAACCACGAGCAGUCAGGCACUUUUAUUCCCAGUCUUAAUUACAGAUACCCACAGCAUUGAGCUACACGUCUCACGUCAGGCCAUGACAAGCAGUUGUGGGAAACAGUUAGUAGCAGCUGUAGGACUUGAGGAGGCAGACCUGGGCAAAGACAGAAAGCCCAUGGAGGGGUACAAAGUCACCACAGGUGGCCAGGUAGGAUGACAGCUGAUGGAGUCCGCCGUCACUUGUCGAACAGCACCUGAAUGGGGGAGUGAGGAUGAGGAAAAAGAAAGACACAGAAAUAGAGUCGGGAGGGCUCCCAGAGAGACCGAGAGUGCCCGUUUAUUUUUCUCCUUCCCUUUAUAGCACAGGUGAGCUUGGUCAUUAAUCAUGACCCUUAUCCAAAGACACCUGCUUCCUUGUUCUCUAGCUCUUUGGAAAUUCCCCACCUUCGUGGGCUUUCUUGUUUCUCAGGGUUACAGAACGUUCAUCAUGUUUCCAGGACAAUUUCUAAAGGUAAACAUCUAAGUUGGCAAGGACGGGGUUCCUCAUAACAUAGACUCCUAGCUCUGUACAAUGGAGGGUAAGAUUUAACAUGGAGCCUCUAUGGCUAACACCGCUCUCCACAGACAGCCUAGGCCAAACUCACUCCAGGCAUGGCUUGUUGAGGGCAGAGUUGGUGCCAAGCCCGAGUCUGAGGCAGGAGUUGAGUGGGCCACAUUGAGCAGGAAGGUGGAGUGCGCUGACCCUGGGGUCAGAAAGCCAGAGUUUGUCACCUGUUGAGCUCCUGACUCGCUCACCAGGUGGUCUGAGUAGACGACAGGUCGGCGGGUCACUGCCACUCCCCAGUGUCGUGCGCCCCUCAUUUUAACAGGCCGGGAGAGGAUUGGCUCUGUUGUUGGUCUGUCUGUCCAGUGAGCUCUGGCCUGGUAUUCUCUGGCCUGACUCAGACACUGCGUCAGGUGUCCAUGCCCCCCCUGUGACGUAUAGUUCACAAGGGUGAUUCUUUUUUUUAAUUAUUAUUAUUUGGUUGGGGGGAGGGUACUGGGAAUUGAACUCGGGACCUUGAGCUUUCGAGGGAGGCCGGCAGCGGCACCACUGAGCUAAAUCCCUGGCCCAACAGGGGUGAUUCUUAACAGGGUCGAUUUAUUUAUCAUUUGUGUCCUUAUGAUUGUGUUGUGCAGCUGGGGAGCAACUUCAGAUUCGUUGCUAAGUUUGUGGUUAUUUAUUUACACAGACAAGUUACCAAACCAUCUACUUCAGCACUUGUACUCAAAAUGGACCAAACUUCUGGGCUCUUUGUAGUUUGUUUUGUGGUACUGGAGAUGGAAACGAGGCGCUUCACACUGACCUACACCCCCAACCCAUCUUUAUUUUUUAGUUUGGGACAGGGUCUCACUAAGUUGCCAGUUGUCCAGGCUGCACUCGAAUGUGCAGUCCUCCUGUUUCAGCCUCCCAGAGUGCUGGGAUUACAGGUGUGAGUCACCAUGCCCAGGGCAAACUGCUGUUUUGGCAAAUGGAGCCACUCAGAGCAAGGCCUUGCCUGCUGUACACAGGAAGACCCACUCUGGGGACCAGGACUUCUAGUUGCAAGGCCUGCCUUGGGGAGGGAGUUCUGCCAGGAGCCAUGGACAAGGCAACAUCGAGGGAAACAAAAUCAGGCUCCUGCCACCCUUUGCCCACAGCAGUUUACCUAAUCAGUGUGAAACCUCAUUUUGUGCGUCUGCGUAUUUGAAGUCACCUUCUUUAAUAUAUGUAUAUUUUGAUUUAUUAACAUUAAACUCACAACCAACCACACUAUAACUCACAUACGGAAGCCAUCCUGCUCAGGUAUUUUCUGCAACAUUUUGUGCUUAGGACACCAGAGAGCACAUCAGGAUAUACCUGUGGCAUUUUCAACAGCGAAACUGUCCCAGGACAGAGUCCAAGGAGGCUCCCCAAAGCAGAAAUGGGGAACCUUGACUACUCCACCCACAGGGCAGGUUGAAGGUUGGCUGACUCCUACCAAAGAAAAAGAAUUUUCAAGACACGUGAGUGAGAUGCAUAAUAGAGGUUUAUUGGGCAGAAAUGAAAAGGGACAUGUGUCCAGUGAGAAUAGAGUGCAGGCCUCAAGAGAGGCAUCUGUGGUCUGGAGUAGGGGUUUUGUGUGGACUUGGGGGUCCUCAAGAUGGGUAUCCAG
Heterocephalus glaber (naked mole-rat) is the source of this 3689-nucleotide long non-coding RNA. The record is from Ensembl. Lineage: Eukaryota; Metazoa; Chordata; Mammalia; Rodentia; Bathyergidae.